CGCGGCGAAGCGGGGGGCGGGGUGGACCGUGCCCGGUAUUUUCUAUACGGGUUCCGGGGCCCGGUAGAGGCGCGCCAAGAGGAAAGGAAAGUGCGGCGGCCCUGGAACCUGGAUAUCGCGCGAGAUUUGUGACCCAGAAGGAAAUCUCUGACCUCAGCUGUAGCUCUUGGUGCUGGCCAGAAGCCAACUUCAUGUCUGAGUGCACGAGCAGCAGUUUGCCAUGGAGAGCUUGGGGCUGCACACGGUGACCCUUAGUGAUGGGACAACAGCCUACGUCCAGCAAGCUGUCAAAGGAGAGAAGCUUCUUGAAGGGCAGGUGAUCCAGCUCGAGGAUGGGACCACCGCAUACAUUCACCAGGUGACGGUACAGAAAGGUGAGGGCACCCCAACACACCAUGCCUUGUCGAGGGAAGCCUGACAGCCCCCACCAAGGGACCCCUCCAUGGCACUGAGCUCCAGGGAAAGGCAGGCAUUGCUCUCGUUACAGAAGCUCUCUCCUUUGAGGAUGGUCAGCCUGUGCAGCUGGAAGAUGGCAGCAUGGCUUACAUACACCGCACACCCAGAGAAGGCUAUGACCCCAGCACCCUGGAAGCCGUCCAACUGGAAGAUGGCUCCACUGCCUACAUUCACCACCCUGUGGCUGUGCCAUCGGACAGCACCAUCCUGGCCGUACAGACAGAGGUGGGCUUGGAGGACC
Molecule: small RNA, 697 nt
Filed under: Pan troglodytes (chimpanzee)
Lineage: Eukaryota; Metazoa; Chordata; Mammalia; Primates; Hominidae
Description: retained intron
Source: RNAcentral